RNAcentral lists this ribosomal RNA (628 nucleotides) under uncultured bacterium. RNAcentral describes it as "bacterial SSU rRNA". The stretch from base 1 to 534 matches the Rfam family "Bacterial small subunit ribosomal RNA", at positions 338 to 873 of the family's 1533-position model. The record is from RNAcentral.
CCUACGGGAGGCAGCAGUAAGGAAUAUUGGUCAAUGGACGCAAGUCUGAACCAGCCAUGCCGCGUGCAGGAUGAAGGCCCUCUGGGUUGUAAACUGCUUUUAUAGGGGACGAAAAAGGGACUUUCUAGUUCAACUGACGGUACCCUAGGAAUAAGCACCGGCUAACUCCGUGCCAGCAGCCGCGGUAAUACGGAGGGUGCAAGCGUUAUCCGGAUUUACUGGGUUUAAAGGGUGCGUAGGUGGGUCGGUAAGUCAGCGGUGAAAUCUUCAAGCUUAACUUGGAAACUGCCAUUGAUACUAUCGAUCUUGAAUCAUCUGGAGGUAAGCGGAAUAUGUCAUGUAGCGGUGAAAUGCUUAGAUAUGACAUAGAACACCAAUUGCGAAGGCAGCUUACUACGGAUGUAUUGACACUGAGGCACGAAAGCGUGGGGAUCAAACAGGAUUAGAUACCCUGGUAGUCCACGCCCUAAACGAUGGAUACUCGACAUACGUGAUAUACUAUGUGUGUNUGAGNGAAGACAUAAGUAUACCACCUACGGAAGUACGAGUCGCGAGAGUAGUAACGUACGAAAGAAAGUUAGUACGGACGUGAGAGUACGACCGACGGACGACGACGAGGGGAGGAGGG